Molecule: ribosomal RNA, 651 nt
Filed under: uncultured bacterium
Lineage: Bacteria
Description: bacterial SSU rRNA
Rfam family: Bacterial small subunit ribosomal RNA
Source: RNAcentral
GGGGAUAACAGUUAGAAAUGACUGCUAAUACCGCAUAAGCGCACAGGACCGCAUGGUCCGGUGUGAAAAACUCCGGUGGUAUGAGAUGGACCCGCGUCUGAUUAGCUGGUUGGUGGGGUAACGGCCCACCAAGGCGACGAUCAGUAGCCGGCCUGAGAGGGUGAACGGCCACAUUGGGACUGAGACACGGCCCAAACUCCUACGGGAGGCAGCAGUGGGGAAUAUUGCACAAUGGGGGAAACCCUGAUGCAGCGACGCCGCGUGAAGGAAGAAGUAUUUCGGUAUGUAAACUUCUAUCAGCAGGGAAGAAAAUGACGGUACCUGACUAAGAAGCCCCGGCUAACUACGUGCCAGCAGCCGCGGUAAUACGUAGGGGGCAAGCGUUAUCCGGAUUUACUGGGUGUAAAGGGAGCGUAGGCGGUUUAGCAAGUCAGAAGUGAAAGCCCGGGGCUCAACUCCGGGACUGCUUUUGAAACUGUUGAACUAGAUUGCAGGAGAGGUAAGUGGAAUUCCUAGUGUAGCGGUGAAAUGCGUAGAUAUUAGGAGGAACACCAGUGGCGAAGGCGGCUUACUGGACUGUAAAUGACGCUGAGGCUCGAAAGCGUGGGGAGCAAACAGGAUUAGAUACCCUGGUAGUCCACGCCGUAAACG